This 495-nucleotide ribosomal RNA is filed under the name uncultured bacterium. Its description in RNAcentral is "partial 16S ribosomal RNA". It matches the Rfam family "Bacterial small subunit ribosomal RNA", at positions 28 to 507 of the family's 1533-position model. The record is from RNAcentral.
GACGAACGCUGGCGGCGUGCCUAAUACAUGCAAGUAGAACGCUGAAGGAGGAGCUUGCUUCUCUGGAUGAGUUGCGAACGGGUGAGUAACGCGUAGGUAACCUGCCUGGUAGCGGGGGAUAACUAUUGGAAACGAUAGCUAAUACCGCAUAAUAGCAGUUAUUGCAUGAUAACUGUUUGAAAGGUGCAAUUGCACCACUACCAGAUGGACCUGCGUUGUAUUAGCUAGUUGGUGGGGUAACGGCUCACCAAGGCGACGAUACAUAGCCGACCUGAGAGGGUGAUCGGCCACACUGGGACUGAGACACGGCCCAGACUCCUACGGGAGGCGGCAGUAGGGAAUCUUCGGCAAUGGACGGAAGUCUGACCGAGCAACGCCGCGUGAGUGAAGAAGGUUUUCGGAUCGUAAAGCUCUGUUGUAAGAGAAGAACGAGUGUGAGAGUGGAAAGUUCACACUGUGACGGUAUCUUACCAGAAAGGGACGGCUAACUACGUG